UUGACCUCGGAUCAGGUAGGAAUACCCGCUGAACUUAAGCAUAUCAAUAAGCGGAGGAAAAGAAACCAACAGGGAUUGCCUCAGUAACGGCGAGUGAAGCGGCAACAGCUCAAAUUUGAAAUCUGGCCUUUACGGUCCGAGUUGUAAUUUGUAGAGGAUGUUUUGGGCACCGCCCCGGGUUAAAUUUCUUGGAACAGAAUGUCAAAGAGGGUGAGAGUCCCGUCUUGGCCCGCGGUAGGACCUAUGUAAAACUCCUUCGACGAGUCGACUUGUUUGGGAAUGCAGGUCUAAAUGGGUGGUAAAUUUCAUCUAAAGCUAAAUAUUGGCCAGAGACCGAUAGCGCACAAGUAGAGUGAUCGAAAGAUGAAAAGCACUUUGAAAAGAGAGUUAAACAGUAUGUGAAAUUGUUGAAAGGGAAGCGCUGGCAACCAGACUCGAGCGCGGUGUUCCCCUUGGCUUCUGCCUUGGUUAUUUCACCGUGACCGGGCCAUCAUCAGUUUUGGGGGUUGGUUAAAGAUCUGGGGAAUGUAUCCUCUCUUUCGGGGGAGGACUUAUAGCCCUGGAUGUCAUGCAGCCUCCCGGGACUGAGGAACGCGCUUCGGCGAGGAUGAUGGCGUAAUGGUUGUCAGCGACCCGUCUUGAAACACGGACCAAGGAGUCUAACAUCUAUGCGAGUGUUCGGGUGUCAAACCCCUGCGCGGAAUGAAAGUGAACGGAGGUAGGAAGGCCUGUGCCUGCACUAUCGACCGAUCCUGAUGUCUUCGGAUGGAUUUGAGUAAGAGCAUAGCUGUUGGGACCCGAAAGAUGGUGAACUAUGCGUGAAUAGGGUGAAGCCAGAGGAAACUCUGGUGGAGGCUCGCAGCGGUUCUGACGUGCAAAUCGAUCGUCAAAUUUGCGUAUAGGGGCGAAAGACUAAUCGAACC
Molecule: ribosomal RNA, 923 nt
Filed under: Chaetothyriales sp. M-Cre2
Lineage: Eukaryota; Fungi; Ascomycota; Eurotiomycetes; Chaetothyriales
Description: eukaryotic LSU rRNA
Rfam family: Eukaryotic large subunit ribosomal RNA
Source: RNAcentral